GGGUUGUGAGGUUAAGCGACUAAGCGUACACGGUGGAUGCCCUGGCAGUCAGAGGCGAUGAAGGGCGUACUAAUCUGCGAUAAGCGCCGGUAAGGUGAUAUGAACCGUUAUAACCGGCGAUACCCGAAUGGGGAAACCCAGUGUGAUUCGUCACACUAUCAUUAACUGAAUCCAUAGGUUAAUGAGGCGAACCGGGGGAACUGAAACAUCUAAGUACCCCGAGGAAAAGAAAUCAACCGAGAUUCCCCCAGUAGCGGCGAGCGAACGGGGAGGAGCCCAGAGCCUGAAUCAGCAUGUGUGUUAGUGGAAGCGUCUGGAAAGGCGCGCGAUACAGGGUGACAGCCCCGUACACAAAAGCGCAUGUGCUGUGAGCUCGAUGAGUAGGGCGGGACACGUGGUAUCCUGUCUGAAUAUGGGGGGACCAUCCUCCAAGGCUAAAUACUCCUGACUGACCGAUAGUGAACCAGUACCGUGAGGGAAAGGCGAAAAGAACCCCGGCGAGGGGAGUGAAAAAGAACCUGAAACCGUGUACGUACAAGCAGUGGGAGCACCCUUUGGGUGUGACUGCGUACCUUUUGUAUAAUGGGUCAGCGACUUAUAUUCUGUAGCAAGGUUAACCGAAUAGGGGAGCCGGAGGGAAACCGAGUCUUAACCGGGCGUUAAGUUGCAGGGUAUAGACCCGAAACCCGGUGAUCUAGCCAUGGGCAGGUUGAAGGUUGGGUAACACUAACUGGAGGACCGAACCGACUAAUGUUGAAAAAUUAGCGGAUGACCUGUGGCUGGGGGUGAAAGGCCAAUCAAACCGGGAGAUAGCUGGUUCUCCCCGAAAGCUAUUUAGGUAGCGCCUCGUGAAUUCAUCUCCGGGGGUAGAGCACUGUUUCGGCUAGGGGGCCAUCCCGGCUUACCAACCCGAUGCAAACUGCGAAUACCGGAGAAUGUUAUCACGGGAGACACACGGCGGGUGCUAACGUCCGUCGUGAAGAGGGAAACAACCCAGACCGCCAGCUAAGGUCCCAAAGUCAUGGUUAAGUGGGAAACGAUGUGGGAAGGCCCAGACAGCCAGGAUGUUGGCUUAGAAGCAGCCAUCAUUUAAAGAAAGCGUAAUAGCUCACUGGUCGAGUCGGCCUGCGCGGAAGAUGUAACGGGGCUAAACCAUG
Molecule: ribosomal RNA, 1157 nt
Filed under: Salmonella enterica
Lineage: Bacteria; Pseudomonadati; Pseudomonadota; Gammaproteobacteria; Enterobacterales; Enterobacteriaceae
Also listed under: 2 other names
Description: partial 23S ribosomal RNA
Rfam family: Bacterial large subunit ribosomal RNA
Source: RNAcentral